Molecule: ribosomal RNA, 457 nt
Filed under: Chaetoceros affinis
Lineage: Eukaryota; Bacillariophyta; Thalassiosirophyceae; Chaetocerotales; Chaetocerotaceae
Description: partial Bacterial large subunit ribosomal RNA
Rfam family: Bacterial large subunit ribosomal RNA
Source: RNAcentral
CGAAGGCUAAGUACUCCUUACUGACCGAUAGUGAACCAGUACCGUGAGGGAAAGGUGAAAAGCACCCCGACGAGGGGAGUGAAACAGUACCUGAAACCGAACGCCUACAAUCAGUCGGAGCCCCCUUGCGGGGUGACGGCGUACCUUUUGUAUAAUGGGUCAUCGACUUGGUCUAUCUAGCAAGCUUAAGCCGUUAGGUGUAGGCGCAGCGAAAGCGAGUCUGAAUAGGGCGCAUGAGUUAGAUGGAUCAGACCCGAAACCGAGUGAUCUAGGCAUGGCCAGGUUGAAGGUUGGGUAACACCAACUGGAGGACCGAACCCACAUCCGUUGAAAAGGAUCGGGAUGAGCUGUGCCUAGGGGUGAAAGGCCAAUCAAACUCGGAGAUAGCUGGUUCUCUGCGAAAUCUAUUUAGGUAGAGCGUCAUCCGAAUACCCCCGGGGGUAGAGCACUGGAUGGG